RNAcentral lists this ribosomal RNA (492 nucleotides) under uncultured bacterium. Its description in RNAcentral is "partial 16S ribosomal RNA". It matches the Rfam family "Bacterial small subunit ribosomal RNA", at positions 29 to 507 of the family's 1533-position model. The record is from RNAcentral.
AGUGAACGCUGGCGGUAGGCCUAACACAUGCAAGUCGAACGAAAGCACAGUAAGAGCUCGCUCUUACGGGUGGCGAGGGGCGGACGGGUGAGACAUACAUAAGCAUCUACUUAUUCGGGGGGGAUAACGUGGGGAAACUUCCGCUAAUACCGAAUACGUCCUACGGGAGAAAGCAGGGGAUCUACGCAGCUUGCGUGUUACAAUGAGACGGAGCCGCAUUAGCUAGUUGGCGGGGUAACGGCUCACCAAGGCGACGAUACGUAGCUGAUCUGAGAGGAUGAUCAGCCACACUGGAACUGAGACACGGUCCAGACUCCUACGGGAGGCAGCAGUGGGGAAUAUUGGACAAUGGGCGAAAGCCUGACCCAGCCACACCGCGUGAGUGAAGAAGGUCUUCGGGUUGUAAAGCCCUUUUGUUGGGAAAGAAAAGCAGCAUGUGUAUCCCCCGCUGUUCUGACGGUACCCAAAGAAUAAGCAACGGCUAACUUCGUG